CGCAUCUGUGCAUGCAGCAUAUCAAUAAGCGGAGGAAAAGGGUCUAAUUACCUACGCUUAGGAUGUUGACGCGCGUGUGUGCGUGAGUCUAUACAUGACUCUGUGCAUAUCAAUAAGCGGAGGAAAAGAAACUAACAAGGAUUCCCUUAGUAACGGCGAGUGAAGCGGGAAGAGCUCAAAUUUGAAAUCUUCAAGGUUUUACCUUGACGAAUUGUAGUUUAAAGAAGUGUUUUCUGUUGAAGUUUUGGUAAAAGUUCUUUGGAAUAGGACAUCAUAGAGGGUGAGAAUCCCGUAUUUGACCAUUAUUUUCAGCUGUGUGAUACACUUUCAAAGAGUCGGAUUGUUUGGGAAUGCAGUCCAAAAUGGGUGGUAAACUUCAUCUAAAGCUAAAUAUUGGCGAGAGACCGAUAGCGAACAAGUACCGUGAGGGAAAGAUGUAAAGAACUUUGAAAAGAGAGUUAAACAGUACGUGAAAUUGUCAAAAGGGAAGCGUUUGACACCAGUGUUGUUCUCUCGAAAAUCAAUUAAAAAGAGUUAGAUUUUGUUGUGUAUUGACCUUAACAGCUUGCAUUUCAAUUUUCUUGCUUUUUUUAAUGCACUUUUCGUUUAACAAGUCAACAUCAGUUUCUUUUGUUGUAAAAAGGUCAUUGGAAGGUGGCUUUCUUUUCGGAGAAAGUGUUUAUAGCCUUUGACUCCUGCAAUCGGAGAGACUGAGGUCUGCAGCGUAGAUCCUUCGGGGUUAGAUACAUUUGUGCUAAGUUAUAGCUUUUUAUAGACAACUUGUUGACUAUGAUUAGUCUUGUAGCUUACUCGCUUAUGCUAUUUUACCUACGCUUAGGAUGUUGACGCGCGUGUGUGCGUG
Molecule: ribosomal RNA, 862 nt
Filed under: uncultured Neocallimastigales
Lineage: Eukaryota; Fungi; Neocallimastigomycota; Neocallimastigomycetes; Neocallimastigales
Description: partial large subunit ribosomal RNA
Rfam family: Eukaryotic large subunit ribosomal RNA
Source: RNAcentral